RNAcentral lists this ribosomal RNA (600 nucleotides) under uncultured bacterium. RNAcentral's name for it is "bacterial SSU rRNA". It matches the Rfam family "Bacterial small subunit ribosomal RNA", at positions 8 to 605 of the family's 1533-position model. The record is from RNAcentral.
AGAGUUUGAUCCUGGCUCAGGAUGAACGCUAGCGGCAGGCCUAACACAUGCAAGUCGAGGGGUAACAGGGUUUUCGGACCGCUGACGACCGGCGCACGGGUGCGUAACGCGUAUGCAACCUACCUUUAACAGGAAGAUAGCCCCGAGAAAUCGGGAUUAAUACUCCAUAACACUAAGAAGUGGCAUCACUUUUUAUUUAAAGCUUCGGCGGUUAAAGAUGGGCAUGCGUGACAUUAGUUAGUUGGUAAGGUAACGGCUUACCAAGACUUCGAUGUCUAGGGGUUCUGAGAGGAUUAACCCCCACACUGGUACUGAGACACGGACCAGACUCCUACGGGAGGCAGCAGUGAGGAAUAUUGGGCAAUGGACGCAAGUCUGACCCAGCCAUGCCGCGUGAAGGAUGAAGGCCUUAUGGGUUGUAAACUUCUUUUAUACGGGAAUAAACUUAGCUAUGUAUAGUUAACUGCAGGUACCGUACGAAUAAGCACCGGCUAACUCCGUGCCAGCAGCCGCGGUAAUACGGAGGGUGCAAGCGUUAUCCGGAUUUAUUGGGUUUAAAGGGUCCGCAGGCGGACCAGUAAGUCAGUGGUGAAAUCUCUC